RNAcentral lists this transfer RNA (69 nucleotides) under Ictidomys tridecemlineatus (thirteen-lined ground squirrel). RNAcentral's name for it is "Spermophilus tridecemlineatus (thirteen-lined ground squirrel) tRNA". It matches the Rfam family "tRNA". From Rfam's summary of the family: Transfer RNA (tRNA) molecules are approximately 80 nucleotides in length. The record is from Rfam by way of RNAcentral. Lineage: Eukaryota; Metazoa; Chordata; Mammalia; Rodentia; Sciuridae.
GGGGUUGUGGCUCAGUGGUAGAGCACUGGCCUAGCAUGCCUGAGGCACUAGGUUCGAUCCUCAGCACCA